This 484-nucleotide ribosomal RNA is filed under the name uncultured bacterium. RNAcentral's name for it is "partial 16S ribosomal RNA". It matches the Rfam family "Bacterial small subunit ribosomal RNA", at positions 30 to 507 of the family's 1533-position model. The record is from RNAcentral.
AUUGAACGCUGGCGGCAGGCCUAACACAUGCAAGUCGAGCGGAUGAAGGGAGCUUGCUCCUGGAUUCAGCGGCGGACGGGUGAGUAAUGCCUAGGAAUCUGCCUGGUAGGGGGGGAUAACGUCCGGAAACGGGCGCUAAUACCGCAUACGUCCUGAGGGAGAAGGUGGGGGAUCUUCGGACCUCACGCUAUCAGAUGAGCCUAGGUCGGAUUAGCUAGUUGGUGGGGUAAAGGCCUACCAAGGCGACGAUCCGUAACUGGUCUGAGAGGAUGAUCAGUCACACUGGAACUGAGACACGGUCCAGACUCCUACGGGAGGCAGCAGUGGGGAAUAUUGGACAAUGGGCGAAAGCCUGAUCCAGCCAUGCCGCGUGUGUGAAGAAGGUCUUCGGAUUGUAAAGCACUUUAAGUUGGGAGGAAGGGCAGUAAGUUAAUACCUUGCUGUUUUGACGUUACCAACAGAAUAAGCACCGGCUAACUUCGUG